CCUACGGGAGGCAGCAGUGGGGAAUAUUGCACAAUGGGGGAAACCCUGAUGCAGCGACGCCGCGUGAGUGAAGAAGUAUCUCGGUACGUAAAGCUCUAUCAGCAGGGAAGAAAAUGACGGUACCUGACUAAGAAGCCCCGGCUAACUACGUGCCAGCAGCCGCGGUAAUACGUAGGGGGCAAGCGUUGUCCGGAAUCAUUGGGCGUAAAGAGUUCGUAGGUGGCAUAUUAAGUCUGGUGUUAAAUGCAGAAGCUCAACUUCUGUUCGGCACUGGAUACUGGUAAGCUUGAAUGCGGUAGAGGUAAAGGGAAUUCCUGGUGUAGCGGUGAAAUGCGUAGAUAUCAGGAGGAACAUCGGUGGCGUAAGCGCUUUACUGGGCCGUAAUUGACACUGAGGAACGAAAGCCGGGGUAGCAAAUGGGAUUAGAUACCCUUGUAGUC
RNAcentral lists this ribosomal RNA (440 nucleotides) under uncultured bacterium. RNAcentral describes it as "partial 16S ribosomal RNA". It matches the Rfam family "Bacterial small subunit ribosomal RNA", at positions 338 to 795 of the family's 1533-position model. The record is from RNAcentral.